This 497-nucleotide ribosomal RNA is filed under the name uncultured bacterium. Its description in RNAcentral is "partial 16S ribosomal RNA". It matches the Rfam family "Bacterial small subunit ribosomal RNA", at positions 28 to 507 of the family's 1533-position model. The record is from RNAcentral.
GAUGAACGCUGGCGGCGUGCCUAAUACAUGCAAGUCGAGCGAACAGACGAGGAGCUUGCUCCUCUGACGUUAGCGGCGGACGGGUGAGUAACACGUGGAUAACCUACCUAUAUGACUGGGAUAACUUCGGGAAACCGGAGCUAAUACCGGAUAAUAUAUUGAACCGCAUGGUUCAAUAGUGAAAGACGGUUUUGCUGUCACUUAUAGAUGGAUCCGCGCCGCAUUAGCUAGUUGGUAAGGUAACGGCUUACCAAGGCGACGAUGCGUAGCCGACCUGAGAGGGUGAUCGGCCACACUGGAACUGAGACACGGUCCAGACUCCUACGGGAGGCAGCAGUAGGGAAUCUUCCGCAAUGGGCGAAAGCCUGACGGAGCAACGCCGCGUGAGUGAUGAAGGUCUUCGGAUCGUAAAACUCUGUUAUUAGGGAAGAACAAAUGUGUAAGUAACUAUGCACGUCUUGACGGUACCUAAUCAGAAAGCCACGGCUAACUACGUG